RNAcentral lists this long non-coding RNA (214 nucleotides) under Elaeis guineensis (African oil palm). RNAcentral's name for it is "long non-coding RNA (EGUI_LNC082581)". The record is from RNAcentral. Lineage: Eukaryota; Viridiplantae; Streptophyta; Magnoliopsida; Arecales; Arecaceae.
CACUUGGUGAAGUAGUCAAUUACCACCAGGAGGAACUUUUGCUGUCCGGAUGCCAGGAGAAAAGGUCCGAGGAUAUCCAUCCCCCAUUGUGCAAACGGUCAUGGGGCACUCAAGGGUGUAAGUUCGGAGGUGGGUUGCCUUUGGAUAUUUGUAUAUCUCUGACACUGAUCACACCUUCUGAUAUAUUUGAUGGAGUCAUGGUACAUGGUAGGCC